RNAcentral lists this ribosomal RNA (253 nucleotides) under uncultured bacterium. RNAcentral's name for it is "partial 16S ribosomal RNA". It matches the Rfam family "Bacterial small subunit ribosomal RNA", at positions 524 to 776 of the family's 1533-position model. The record is from RNAcentral.
UACGGGGGGGGUAAGCGUUGUUCGGAAUUACUGGGCGUAAAGGGCUCGUAGGCGGCCAACUAAGUCAUACGUGAAAUCCCUCAGCUUAACUGGGGAACUGCGUGUGAUACUGGAUGGCUUGGAUUUGGGAGAGGGAUGCGGAAUUCCAGGUGUAGCGGUGAAAUGCGCAGAUAUCAGGAGGAACACCGGUGGCGAAGGCGGCUUGCUGGGCCUUACCUGACGCUGAGGAGCGAAAGCGUGGGGAGCGAACAGG